Molecule: ribosomal RNA, 357 nt
Filed under: Aeromonas veronii
Lineage: Bacteria; Pseudomonadati; Pseudomonadota; Gammaproteobacteria; Aeromonadales; Aeromonadaceae
Description: bacterial SSU rRNA
Rfam family: Bacterial small subunit ribosomal RNA
Source: RNAcentral
CGUCAAGUCAUCAUGGCCCUUACGGCCAGGGCUACACACGUGCUACAAUGGCGCGUACAGAGGGCUGCAAGCUAGCGAUAGUGAGCGAAUCCCAAAAAGCGCGUCGUAGUCCGGAUCGGAGUCUGCAACUCGACUCCGUGAAGUCGGAAUCGCUAGUAAUCGCAAAUCAGAAUGUUGCGGUGAAUACGUUCCCGGGCCUUGUACACACCGCCCGUCACACCAUGGGAGUGGGUUGCACCAGAAGUAGAUAGCUUAACCUUCGGGAGGGCGUUUACCACGGUGUGAUUCAUGACUGGGGUGAAGUCGUAACAAGGUAACCCUAGGGGAACCUGGGGUUGGAUCACCUCCUUACCUUAA